Molecule: non-coding RNA, 3883 nt
Organism: Taeniopygia guttata (zebra finch)
Lineage: Eukaryota; Metazoa; Chordata; Aves; Passeriformes; Estrildidae
Source: RefSeq, a predicted model, not a curated record
UGAAGGAAUGGCGAGUUCUAAAGUGCAGUUGUCAGAGUCUCAGAACCAUUUAGGUUGGAAAAGGUCUCUGAGAGAACCAAGUCCAAUUUACGACCCAACGCCGCUGUGUCCACCACACCAUGACACCGUCUGCUACAUGCAGUUUUCCUUGGAGUCACCUCCAGCUCUCAUAGGUGAGGCAGACAACCUAACCAUUUAAGAGCAGCCUGAAUAUGAUUCACCAAGAACUUCUUGCAUAGAAGGAGCAACAGGAAGGGAGGCACAAGGAGAAGAUGAAGGGACAAGGCUGACACCACUGAAACGUGUCUGAAAGACAGGAGGUUUCCCAUCUUCAAAAUAAUAUGUGAGAAGAUAUACUUUUCACUGACAGUUUGACAGGUUGAAAACUGUAUCUCAAUAUGAUAAUGAGACUUUUGAGAAAGGAAUUGCUGGCCCCAAACCACAACAUGACCCAGCUGUGGACCAACAAGAAAUGAGAAAAGGGCAAGGGUUAUGAAGGUGGAUAGUUGGGAAUAUGGCUAUGAGUAGGGAUUUCUUGGUUGAUCCCAGCUUCUGGGAUUGGCUGUGCAUGGAAGGAAAACUAAAUGCCUUUCUCAGGGACAUAAAUCAGAUCUUCAGAUUGUUUUCCUUUUAUGCCAUAAUUUUACAUCCUCAGAUUCAUUUCUAAAAUCAAUUAAUUCCGUAAGUAAUCACUUUUUCAUGAACUACAUGUAAAUUUCACACUCAGCUUGCUAACUAGAUUUUCCUCUCAUCUGGGAAAUCAAUUUUUAAGAGAGUUAUUUUAUUUACAUUGAAUAAUUGGUUGUAUUUGGUACACAGAUAACUGGUAAUUAAUAACAGUAUUGAUACUGGAUAUUCAUUGCCAUUUGUUCUAGUGAGUUGUUAGACCAUUAGGCUGCAUGAUAUUUUCUUAAUGUGACCCAAUUUGAACACACUCAACAAAUUAAAAGGUGUGUGACAUCUUUAUGACCUGCAAAUUUAUAUAUUUGGUAGGGAUACAUUUUCAGAAAGGCAAAUUUAAUUUCAUUACACAAUUUGUAUCCAAACAUCGUGUUCCUUUUUUAGUAUCUACAACCAAUUUGAAUGCAAGAAUGGCACUGGAGGUGCACACAAAUGAAGUACUUGACUAUCCAUAUUAACUGCAUUUUAUAAUUACAAAUUAAAUUUAAUUGUCAUUUUAAAAGCCACAUUUUCAGGGUAAUCUUCAGUCCUCUUACAAAAAAAAUUCUGACUUCUCAGAAGUUCUUCCCUAGGAAAAAUGGUGGCAAGAGCUCCUGCUGGACUUUCAUCUGUCCAGAAGUAUUUGUAUUCACAAAGUAAGUGCUUGAUGAAACUACAAAAGAGUUUGCUGGCUACUUAUCAGAAUUUGCAACUUACUGCUGGGUUUUUAUGUUGAAAUAAUGUGUAAAGUCUUUUUAUCUGCAGAAGAAAACAGAAGGCAGCACAACCUUUUGACCAACCCUGAUGUCCCUACAUCAAAUUUAUGAGGGCUGCUAUUGUGGCGAACACUUGAUUCGGUGUCAAAUUUUUCUGAUGGCAAUUUUCUGUUCCCCAUUGAGCAAAUAUUCAAAUAAUCUGAUUUAUUUCCUUUUGGUCAACUGAUCUAAUUUCCUUUCUCACUUGAAUUCCUGUCCUGGAGGCUUGCCAAGCAAUGACUCUCAUGAAUGAAACGAGUCAUGCCUUUGAGAUUCCUGUGGAACAUCAAACUGGCACAACACGGUAAUUACAGCUUAGAUAUUUCUGAUGCUGUUAUUAAAAACGACUUGAACUUUAGAAGGAAGGACUACUGCAAUUAAAUGUAACUUCAAGUUUAAUUUGAAUCUUCCAGGAUCUCUAUGGUUUGUCAGGUAGUAGGCAAUUUUCUCUUUAUCCGUCUUUAUCUCUUCCUUUACCUGCUGUGGGGUAUUUACAGACACUGCCAUGAGUCCCAGUUCUGGUAGUGUACUUUUUCAGAUGUACUUUGGGGUCUUUUUGAAACUCUCUUAAUGAGUACCAGUCACAGAAGAGGUGAGAGCUUCAGAAAAGCUGAAGACUGUGUGGGUGCCAGGUCACCAUGGCAGGUUCUCACAGUACAAUUCACAUUUCCAGGCCAGAUAUAGAACACACUGAAGUUCUGAUCUAGUUCCAUUGAUAUAGGCUUGAAAACAUGUUUAGCUAAUCACAAAUACUCCUGUACAUACUUAUUUCCACAAAAUAUACACAAUUUCCUAGUGGAGAAAUGAACUACUCCAACAUAAAUUUUGCAUUAUGAUCUGGUCUUUUAGCAGUAAAUGAGGACAAUAAGAAACUUUUUCUUAAGCAGUAAAAUAUGUCACAUUCUAUCCUUUUGAAAUGGUGUUUUCAAACUGUGUCAAAAUGAUCAAGAACUGGAUCCUUCUUUAAACAUAAUAGGAAUGUCUUAUUGUAUUAGCAGAUUACAGUCAUUGUGUUAGUAUACUAUCUACCUUGUAUUCAUUUUUGCUAACAUAAUGAGAAAUUUUUCUAGCAUGGUUAUAUUUUAAUACAAUAAAAUAGUGUUGGAAAGGAAAAUUAGUAUGAUUUUAAAGAGAGAUGUAAAGACAAUAAAAUAGCCUCUGAGUUUUCUUUCCUAAACUUUUAAUUUGAUGCUAACUUAAAAUAUACUUUUUAUCAAUCCACGGAAAUAAUUAUAGUCAAAUGAACAUUUAAAGUCAGUUAAAAGGUUUACAGAUGGCUUUUUUCCACAUACUCUGCUAUAUAAGAUCUAAGCAAGUCUGCCUAGAUGUUUCUAAAUUUUCUUAUUUUAGAGAAGUACAUAACUGAUUAAUGUAGCAUCAAGCACACAGCUUUAAUGAGAAUAUUUUCAUGGCACCAUUUACAAUGCCCUUGCUCCUCUGAGGUUUGCAUUUUGAUGAAAAUUCUGACUAUAGAAUCAGAAAUACAUGUCUGGUUUUAAGCAUCAGCAGCCCAUGAACAAUUUGCUUUCUCUACUCUUUAAAAAAGACAUUUCUAAAGCACUAAUACACAGUGGGUGUUCAGGGAGAGAGUAAGACCUGUUCCAAGUUCCAGACUGAAGCUUGGAAGAUCUGCACUCGGUUCCUAUUUUUGCCACAGGAUUCCUGUGAUGAGUGAACAAGGUAUUUUCAACUUUUAUGCCUCACAGGUGCAAGAGUUCUCAUCACCCUUGUCUAUUGUGAGCAUAAAUUGUGAAGUUUUUUGCAGAAGGCAAAAGCAUCGGUGAGCAGUUGGAGAUGUACCCAUACCACCCCUUCCCUGGCUCGACUGGAUCCCAGCAGGGGCAGGCAGUGAGGGUGUGAAGUUCACUUCUGUUGUGCCACAGCCUUUGUUCAUCCCUUUGGGGUUCCCUUGGGGUGUGGGGACUCUUGUGUUUUCUGACCUGACCCCUCUGCUGCUGCAUUUGUAAUUAUGAGUGUGGGAUGUGUUCUAUGGAACCUGAAGUCAUGUAAUUCACUAAAAUGUGAGGGUUUUCACCUAGUAGUGGACAAAUUUCAUUGAACCAAAUAUAUCAAUCUCAAUUUUGUUGUAAUGAAUACAAAAUCUUUAUGCUGGGUUGGGAUCUUGGAUUGCAUUUCUCUGGAAUAGAAGAGAAACACCCUUCUGCCAUAUCACCAAAUAGAGAAGCACCUGACUUUUUUUUUAACACAAAAAGAGUCAUAAAGCAGUUGUCUUAACCUCUCAAAGAAUUUUGCUUUGUGUAUUAAUGGAUGUUGUUUAGAAGUACAAUAGGGAGUCUUACAGCUCACGUGGCACUCAGAUAUGGAGCUAGGGCAUGGUACUUAACCUCUCCUUGGUUUAGUUUGUGAAACAAACAACACUAUUUUAACUAUUUUUCAAGGAUAUUAGAUAAAAUUAAUUAGUUUAGUAUUUGUACUGCAAUAAAGAUCUAUAUAAUUGGAAAGUCUUA